GCCUUGAUGGUGAAAUGGUAGACACGCGAGACUCAAAAUCUCGUGUUGAAGAGCGUGGAGGUUCGAGUCCCUCUUAGUCA
This 80-nucleotide transfer RNA is filed under the name Triticum aestivum (bread wheat). It matches the Rfam family "tRNA". Rfam says of the family: Transfer RNA (tRNA) molecules are approximately 80 nucleotides in length. Their secondary structure includes four short double-helical elements and three loops (D, anti-codon, and T loops). RNAcentral also lists the same sequence under 1 other name. The record is from Rfam by way of RNAcentral. Lineage: Eukaryota; Viridiplantae; Streptophyta; Magnoliopsida; Poales; Poaceae.